UACGUAGGUGGCAAGCGUUGUCCGGAUUUACUGGGCGUAAAGGAUGCGUAGGCGGAUUUUUAAGUCAGAUGUGAAAUACCCGAGCUUAACUUGGGUGCUGCAUUUGAAACUGGAAGUCUAGAGUGCGGGAGAGGAGAGUGGAAUUCCUAGUGUAGCGGUGAAAUGCGUAGAGAUUAGGAAGAACACCAGUGGCGAAGGCGGCUCUCUGGGACGGUACUGACGCUGAGACGCGAAAGCGUGGGGAGCGAACAGG
Molecule: ribosomal RNA, 253 nt
Filed under: uncultured bacterium
Lineage: Bacteria
Description: partial 16S ribosomal RNA
Rfam family: Bacterial small subunit ribosomal RNA
Source: RNAcentral